AAAAAAAAUUACAGCACUGCAAAAGAUAACAGACAAUCCCUGGAGUUCUAAUUCUAGAAAGUUUCAGUCAAGUAAUAGGUCUUAAUAAUAUGGGUUAGGUACCUGUGCUAACUGUUCUGUUUUAGGGGGCUAGGAAUAUAGUUCAGUUUAGAGUGCUUAUGAAGAGUAAGAAAUCUGCUCACUUAGCCAAGAAGUUCUGAUAGACAUUGUGGCUCUCAGGCUACGGUGCUCUCCUGGGAUAAGCAAACUGAGGAAACCAGAUAGUAGUCUAUGGUAGUAUUGGAGAAUUACCAAGUAAUUAUACAGUGACCUAAAAUAACAGGGUUGAAUAGGUAACAUUUCUUUGUAAUACAAGGUCUAAUAUGAACAGACUUGACUGAAUUAACAAACGUGACUUAAUUUUGUUUCC
This 409-nucleotide long non-coding RNA is filed under the name Marmota monax (woodchuck). The record is from RNAcentral. Lineage: Eukaryota; Metazoa; Chordata; Mammalia; Rodentia; Sciuridae.